This is a non-coding RNA of Rattus norvegicus (Norway rat), 372 nucleotides long. The record is from RefSeq and is a predicted model, not a curated record. Lineage: Eukaryota; Metazoa; Chordata; Mammalia; Rodentia; Muridae.
AGGCAUUAAGAACAUUUUCAACUUGUUAAUCCAGAAAGUCUAAGAGACUCUCCCAAAACAAUACAAGGAGUUGUUGUUGACCUCAGUUGUUUCUCAGAGCCUUCAGAUGAAGAUGUUGAACUCUUAGCUCUGCCUACACCAUGCCUGCCUGGAUGCUGCCAUGUUCUUGCCUUGAUGUUAAUGGACUGAAUCUCUGAACCUAAACAGAAUUCUGUUUGAUAGUGAAUGCUGACUACAUCAAAAUGCCGCAGGUCCUCUGCAUGAAAUGGAGAAAACCAAAUAAAACCAUCUGUCAACAGCACAGCUUUGUCGCCAUGACAAUUUGUGAUUGAAUUUGCUCAGCAGACUAUCCAAGGCUUCAUGUUCAUCAAG